UACGUAGGGUGCAAGCGUUAAUCGGAAUUACUGGGCGUAAAGCGUGCGCAGGCGGUUGUGCAAGACAGAUGUGAAAUCCCCGGGCUCAACCUGGGAAUUGCAUUUGUGACUGCACGGCUAGAGUGUGUCAGAGGGGGGUAGAAUUCCACGUGUAGCAGUGAAAUGCGUAGAGAUGUGGAGGAAUACCGAUGGCGAAGGCAGCCCCCUGGGCUGACAACUGACGCUCAGGCACGAAAGCGUGGGGAGCAAACAGG
Molecule: ribosomal RNA, 254 nt
Filed under: uncultured bacterium
Lineage: Bacteria
Description: partial 16S ribosomal RNA
Rfam family: Bacterial small subunit ribosomal RNA
Source: RNAcentral